RNAcentral lists this long non-coding RNA (438 nucleotides) under Apteryx rowi (Okarito brown kiwi). RNAcentral's name for it is "lncRNA (ENSARWG00000018034.1)". Lineage: Eukaryota; Metazoa; Chordata; Aves; Apterygiformes; Apterygidae. The record is from RNAcentral.
CCCACACUGCCUGUGGACUCAGCAGCUGUGCAUCUCUCCGUCCCUCCCACACACACACAUUCACACACACAUACACACACACUGGAUCUUCAUCUGUGAAGGCGAAGUCUUUCGCAAUGAAUCCAUGGCAGCUUCGAUCGAGCGGUGAGCUGGAGCACCUACAUACAGGCCACUCCUUGAUGUGACUGAAAAGAGGCCUUUUCCAGCACUCUGAAAGGAGAGUGGGGCUGUGGAUUUACCUCCCACACACCUGGGCACCCAGAGUACAUGCACUGCGAGAUUCCAGUGACAGAUGGAUCUCUCUUGUGCACACGUGCUCUUUCCCUCUCUGUAUUUUUGUUUUCAACAUGUUUGAUCUGAAGUUCUGAAGCUUCUCAGAGGGAACCCGGGAGAGAAGGAAGAGGAGGAGGAGGAGGAGGAGGAGGAGGAGGAGGAGGA